CAGCAGCCACGGGAAAACGUAGGGUGCAAGCGUUGUCCGGAAUUAUUGGGCGUAAAGAGCUCGUAGGCGGUUUGUCGCGUCUGCUGUGAAAUCCCGAGGCUCAACCUCGGGCUUGCAGUGGGUACGGGCAGACUAGAGUGCGGUAGGGGAGAUUGGAAUUCCUGGUGUAGCGGUGGAAUGCGCAGAUAUCAGGAGGAACACCGAUGGCGAAGGCAGAUCUCUGGGCCGUAACUGACGCUGAGGAGCGAAAGCGUGGGGAGCGAACAGGAUUAGAUACCCGAGUAGUCCCUGUCUCUUAUAC
RNAcentral lists this ribosomal RNA (301 nucleotides) under uncultured bacterium. Its description in RNAcentral is "partial 16S ribosomal RNA". It matches the Rfam family "Bacterial small subunit ribosomal RNA", at positions 509 to 807 of the family's 1533-position model. The record is from RNAcentral.